AAAAAUCAAAGUUUGAUUUAUUAUUUUAUUCAUUUAUUUGAAAUUAUAUAGAAAUCGAGCUUUGAUUUUUAUGAAUUUUGUGAAAUUAAAAAUUUUUAUAAUAUUUUUUAAUUUAUUAGAGUAAAGCUAAAUAGAUAAAUCGAAAUGAACAACGGUAAAUGUGUGUCAAACGAUGGUGCUUAUAUAAGAAGUCUAUAUAAGAUAUCCUAUGAAUUAUAAUAAUGGUACAAAAAAUGCCCACUUGGAGCUCUGAAUUCCAUGGCACUGCUUAACAAAGCAGCCGCGCUGGCCUACCAAUUUAAAGUAUGGGAAUGACCCACUUGGAGCUCUCGAUUCCUUGGCAUGGCUUAGCGAAGCAGCCGUGCCUUCUUACCUAUUUAAAGUAUGAGAACAGCUUGAGGGUGUUGCGCCCCCGAUGCCUCUAAUUAUUGGCGGGCGGUGUGCACAAAGGGCAGGGACGUAGUAAUUGUGUGCUGAUGACUCGCGCUUGCUAGGAAUUCCUCGUUGAAGACCAACAAUUGCAAUGAUCCAGAGUCGAUCCUUUUUUCCGAAGUUACGGAUCUAUUUGUCGGCUUUCCUUGCUUACAUUGUUCCAUCGACCAAGGCUGUUCACCUUGCCUCUAUUGUGUCAUUCCUAAAAACAGUAACACCACAUGACAUGUUAUUGUUUCUGUUGUAUUGAUAUAAGUUCAUUUAAAUUUAAUGAUAUAUCUUAUCAAAUUCAACUAAAAUCUUCGAUAUGUACAAUCGUACAAUUUGUGCUAUUGAUAUAUUGUUGUG
This is a long non-coding RNA of Salvia hispanica, 780 nucleotides long. RefSeq lists it as uncharacterized. Lineage: Eukaryota; Viridiplantae; Streptophyta; Magnoliopsida; Lamiales; Lamiaceae. The record is from RefSeq and is a predicted model, not a curated record.